GACGUAGGGCGCGAGCGUUGUCCAGAUUUAUUGGGCGUAAAGAGCUUGUAGGCGGUUUGUCGCGUCUGCUGUGAAAAUCCGGGGCUCAACCCCGGACUUGCAGUGGGUACGGGCAGACUAGAGUGUGGUAGGGGAGACUGGAAUUCCUGGUGUAGCGGUGGAAUGCGCAGAUAUCAGGAGGAACACCGAUGGCGAAGGCAGGUCUCUGGGCCACUACUGACGCUGAGAAGCGAAAGCAUGGGGAGCGAACAGG
This 253-nucleotide ribosomal RNA is filed under the name uncultured bacterium. Its description in RNAcentral is "partial 16S ribosomal RNA". It matches the Rfam family "Bacterial small subunit ribosomal RNA", at positions 524 to 776 of the family's 1533-position model. The record is from RNAcentral.